GACGAACCGUGCGAACGUUGUUCGGAUUCACUGGGCUUAAAGGGCGCGUAGGCGGGUGAUCGAGUCUGGGGUGAAAUCCUCUCGCUUAACGAGAGAACUGCCUUAGAUACUGGUCAUCUCGAGGAAGGUAGGGGCAUGUGGAACUUCCGGUGGAGCGGUGAAAUGCGUAGAUAUCGGAAGGAACGCCGGUGGCGAAAGCGGUUCUCUGGGCAUUACCUGACGCUGAGGAGCGAAAGUGUGGGGAGCGAACAGG
This 253-nucleotide ribosomal RNA is filed under the name uncultured bacterium. RNAcentral describes it as "partial 16S ribosomal RNA". It matches the Rfam family "Bacterial small subunit ribosomal RNA", at positions 524 to 776 of the family's 1533-position model. The record is from RNAcentral.